This 1042-nucleotide long non-coding RNA is filed under the name Sipha flava (yellow sugarcane aphid). Its description in RNAcentral is "uncharacterized LOC112690547, transcript variant X2". The record is from RNAcentral. Lineage: Eukaryota; Metazoa; Arthropoda; Insecta; Hemiptera; Aphididae.
GCAGCCGGUUAGCCGGCUCCAUCGAAUUAUAAGACGUUGUCACGUCAAUGAUCGUCGUGCUUUACGAUUAAAUACCUCACACACAACUCGCAAAGUAGCACGAUUGACGAAUAUUCGCCGAUUACACGAGUCGUAUGGGACCGGCUUAAUAUCAAGGCUCUUUGGUUUACGCCAUACGGUAACAGUGAAGAUAUAAUAAAUAAACGAGGGAUUACGCUCAAUAACGGUUUAAAAUAAAAGUAACCGAUGCGAACGGACAGCGAAUCGAAGGGGAAAGAAACUUGGUGACUUCCGGUGCAAUGCCAGUAUAACACCGAUUGUUGCCCCAUGGGAUGUGCCAAGUGAACAAGAUGCAAUACCGGAAUUAUUCUGACUAUUGUUGUCUGAAUCAAAAACCGCUCAACCCGUUUGGAUGGAAGUACUUCUUCCCUAGUUGUGUAAGUCGACCCGUGAAAUAUAGACAUUGUAACGAGACAACAUAUUCCUGAGUAUAGCGUACAUUCUAAUAUCGCCCUCAAGGCGUCAAAACCGGCUGAUCAAAAAUUAUCAUCGAAACUCAUUAGACCAGGUAGCGCGCGAUGAGCCGACCAUUUAGGAACCCGCAUAUAUACCACCGAUUGCUAUACAGAUAUUAGACACUUCUAUUGUUGACAUAAGGAGAUAUCACACAUAUAAUGGUCACGAAAUCUGCGUUCAACACAUUCCCCUGUGCCUGGACGCGCUGUCGAUUAUGCAUAUGGGCACGACUGAUUCAAAGUAAUCAUCGUGUCAUACGUAUUGCCUAAUCCAUAGUUGCCCCAAGUACUCACAUUACCCCGUGAACAGCAACACAGUGUUCCGUACCGUUGAAGAGAGUGUGAGCCGUCGCCGUCCGAGUGUAACGAGCCACCAGCCGACCAGUGUCCGCCCACAGUACGUGAGAGCCCAGUACGAACACUAAUAUCUCUGUUUAGUAGUGAGUAAUAAAUACUUAAUAAUCUAUGUCGUGUAAAAAUGUGUAAACUCGACAACGAGUAUUAUAUGUAACAAUUGUAUACCGAAU